RNAcentral lists this ribosomal RNA (450 nucleotides) under uncultured bacterium. Its description in RNAcentral is "partial 16S ribosomal RNA". It matches the Rfam family "Bacterial small subunit ribosomal RNA", at positions 354 to 796 of the family's 1533-position model. The record is from RNAcentral.
GUGGGGAAUCUUCCGCAAUGGACGAAAGUCUGACGGAGCAACGCCGCGUGAGUGAAGAAGGUUUUCGGAUCGUAAAGCUCUUUCGUUAGGGACGAACGUGCUCUUUGUGAAUAAUGAGGAGUAAUGACGGUACCUAAAUAAGAAGCCACGGCUAACUACGUGCCAGCAGCCGCGGUAAUACGUAGGUGGCAAGCGUUGUCCGGAAUUAUUGGGCGUAAAGCGCGCGCAGGCGGGAUAUCAAGUCUGUCUUAAAAGUGCGAGGCUCAACCUCGUGAGGGGACAGAAACUGGUAUUCUUGAGUGUCGGAGAGGAAAGUGGAAUUCCAAGUGUAGCGGUGAAAUGCGUAGAGAUUUGGAAGAACACCAGUGGCGAAGGCGACUUUCUGGACGAUGUCUGACGCUGAGGCGCGAAAGCCAGGGGAGCGAACGGGAUUAGAUACCCCAGUAGUCC